GAGUUUGAUCCUGGCUCAGGAUGAACGCUGGCGGCGUGCUUAACACAUGCAAGUCGAGCGAAGCGGCUGAAUUGAUUCUUCGGAUGAUUUUCAGUUGACUGAGCGGCGGACGGGUGAGUAACGCGUGGGUGACCUGCCCCAUACCGGGGGAUAACAGCUGGAAACGGCUGCUAAUACCGCAUAAGCGCACAGCAUCGCAUGAUGCAGUGUGAAAAACUCCGGUGGUAUAAGAUGGACCCGCGUUGGAUUAGCUAGUUGGUGAGGUAACGGCCCACCAAGGCGACGAUCCAUAGCCGACCUGAGAGGGUGACCGGCCACAUUGGGACUGAGACACGGCCCAAACUCCUACGGGAGGCAGCAGUGGGGAAUAUUGCACAAUGGGCGAAAGCCUGAUGCAGCGACGCCGCGUGAGCGAAGAAGUAUUUCGGUAUGUAAAGCUCUAUCAGCAGGGAAGAUAAUGACGGUACCUGACUAAGAAGCACCGGCUAAAUACGUGCCAGCCGCCGCGGUAAUAC
Molecule: ribosomal RNA, 515 nt
Filed under: uncultured bacterium
Lineage: Bacteria
Description: bacterial SSU rRNA
Rfam family: Bacterial small subunit ribosomal RNA
Source: RNAcentral